AAGGGAGCUAUGGCACAAAGAGUUGAGACGUGUGAAGGGGAGAGGGAGAUCCAACUUCAUAACGAGGGAGGAGGGUCGGCAAUUUCUCCGGCUCAGCAAGGGUUAAGCCCGAGGGUGGAGAUGUGACCUGUGACUGGCUGAAGUUGAGCCCCAGUUGACAAAUCAGGUGCUGAAUUCUGUUCAUAUUCUUUUCAACAGUAGUGCACUACAUGAGGAAUAGUGGACGUUUAUCUUUAUCUCAURCCAUUAGACCGUGACAUCUAGUGUGUCACAGACUAGUGUGUCAUCCCAACAGUCAACACCACCCUUCCUUCCUAACAUUAGAAACCAACGRCGGUGCGCGUCCACAAUGGCACACUAUUCCCUUUUUAUAUAGUGCACUACUUUUGACCAGAGCCCAGCGUAAGUCAAAAGUAGUACGAGGAUYUUUUAGGGAACAGGGUGCCAUUCCGGAUGCAUUUGUUUCUCAAACCGUAAGUGAAACUGUCAUCAGUGAGAUGUUGUCCGUUUCUAUCCCCUUACCAAGCGAGCCUCUCUUCUUUCUGCUCUGGCAUAAAGUGACUUUGUACUACGUUUUGUGUGAAGUGUGUGAUUCAUUGACUUUAAGACUACGGCCCAAAGGGCACCAUAUUCCCUAUUUAGUGCACUACUUUUGACCAGGUAGUGACCUAUAUAGGGAAUAGUGUGCCAUUUGGGACUCAGAAUAAAAACAGAAGAUCAAUAUUUCAGAACAAAAUAUGCAUUUAAAUGUGUUUAUUUUGAAUGCUAUUAWUUAGUCUAAUAGUCAUUAUCAUCACAGGCUUUAAGUCGMUUUUUUUCUUGCUCCAAUACUGUAUCAAUUGUGUCUGUUUUUUGGGGAGGUUUUCUAUURUCUUUUAAAGGGGGUGUAUGUGAUUUGAAAAGAUGGAAACAUGUAAUAGCAGAUUCACUCAGAGGGGUGUCACUCUGGGGCUCUGCGUGGUGUAUUAGGGCUUGAUUCAGUCCAUUGACGAAGUUCAGCGUUAUAGCACGAUCUGACAUUUAAAAGCAGUCGUUUCGCGGAGACUGCAUUCGUGGUAAACGCUGCGUAAGUCGGCUCAAUGCGAGGUGAGCUUCGGCGAUACGGAUUGAAUUGAGUCCUUUUAGUUAUUCAUGUGUAUCAGAUCUACUUUCUAGACGUGUAUCUGCACCACGGUGCAUAGCUGUGCUGAGGCUGAGAGCCUUCUCUCUCCACUUCAGAUUCAUCCGCCACACACCUGCUCAGUCUUACUGCUUCUGUACCAGUCACUCCAGUUCAAACACUAACAGUCAUGUAUUCAUUGUGACGAUAUACAGGCGGUGCAUCUGACACCUUGAUCUCAGUUGCACUAGAGAACAGUGGUCCCACCUAGCUUGGUUGCCAGGUCAGGACGUGCUUUAGACAAAUAAUGUCAUGACAUUGAAAGUCUGAAAUUUUGCUUAAGCCUGUACAGAUCUGGCAACUAGGCUAGACCAGACAGUGGAGUCGGACCUUAAACCCUCCAUAUAACUCUGUUGUAGAGGAGUGUAUUUGAUCAUCGGAGUUAAAAAUGCUUAUAAACAUAAUCAGGGAGGCAGUUUCCACUCUUGACUCUUURCCCCCCUUUCUGUCCUUCUCUUGGGUUUGGAUCCUUGAUAGCCUGGUCCCAGAUGUGUUUGUGCUGUCUUGCCCCAACUCAUUGUCAGACUGUGAGUGUCGAAGUUGGCUCGAAGCCAUCUGGGACCAGGCUAGGUCCUUAAUGCUCUGUGUUGAGACUAUAUAGAAAGACAUCUGGGASCAGGCUAGGUCCUUAAUGCUCUGUGUUGAGACUAUAUAGAUGUCUUAACUUCUCAAUCUUCAGCCCAGAGUUACAAGGCCUUUGUUUCAUUGGGACAUUUCAACAACAAAAAAAUCAAAGGAAAACGGAUGUUUAGUUUUUUUUUAAUGAAUUUAUUUCUUUUUUUGUUGGGAAGUGCAUAUUGUUUGUUGAAGCACACGUCCAGUGGUGACCGUGUGAUUUGCAAUAGGUCUUUAUAUCUGCUGUAAAUGUUCUAAUAAAAAGGGUUUGAAUUCUGGGAAA
Molecule: non-coding RNA, 2057 nt
Organism: Salvelinus sp. IW2-2015
Lineage: Eukaryota; Metazoa; Chordata; Actinopteri; Salmoniformes; Salmonidae
Source: RefSeq, a predicted model, not a curated record